This is a long non-coding RNA of Helianthus annuus (common sunflower), 418 nucleotides long. RefSeq lists it as uncharacterized. The record is from RefSeq and is a predicted model, not a curated record. NCBI's taxonomy places the organism in Eukaryota, Viridiplantae, Streptophyta, Magnoliopsida, Asterales, Asteraceae. The transcript has 4 exons.
UCGACCAGAACCAGGAAACAAGAGGGGAUUUCCCUCAAACCCUAAAAUUCACCAAAAUUCAUCAAUUGAAGGUGCAAAUCGAGUCCAAAUUGAAAUCUGAAUAUAGAUUUGUGAUCACCUUGACUAAGGGAUCGUAAGGCAAUACGAGUGAGGCGUCGGGGAGUCAAGCCGGUACGGACGCUCGCUUAAAGGGAAAGCUUUAAGGCAAUACGAGUGAGGCGUCGGGGAGUCAAGCCGGUACGGACGCUCGCUUAAAGGGAAAGCUUUAAGAUUCCAAGUAAGUCAAUCAAGCGGAUGGUGAUCAACUCAAGGCUUAUGAACCGAACACUUUCAAGAAGAUGAUCUUCACUUUUGUUUUAGGAGUUCAUUUUGUGAAAACUUUUGUAAUGAAAGAAUUACUUAUGUGUCCUUAAAGUUU